This 773-nucleotide ribosomal RNA is filed under the name uncultured Neocallimastigales. RNAcentral describes it as "partial large subunit ribosomal RNA". The stretch from base 4 to 663 matches the Rfam family "Eukaryotic large subunit ribosomal RNA", at positions 24 to 664 of the family's 3401-position model. Lineage: Eukaryota; Fungi; Neocallimastigomycota; Neocallimastigomycetes; Neocallimastigales. The record is from RNAcentral.
GUACACGCUGUGACUAGCAUAUCAAUAACGGAGGAAAAGAAACUAACAAGGAUUCCCUCAGUAACGGCGAGUGAAGCGGGAAGAGCUCAAAUUUGAAAUCUUCAAGGUUUUACCUUGACGAAUUGUAGUUUAAAGAAGUGUUUUCUGCUGAAGUUUUGGUAAAAGUUCUUUGGAAUAGGACAUCAUAGAGGGUGAGAAUCCCGUAUUUGACCAUUAUUUUCAGCUUUGUGAUACACUUUCAAAGAGUCGGAUUGUUUGGGAAUGCAGUCCAAAAUGGGUGGUAAAUUUCAUUCUAAAGGCUAAAUAUUGGCGAGAGACCGAUAGCGAACAAGUACCGUGAGGGAAAGAUGAAAAGAACUUUGAAAAGAGAGUUAAAUAGUACGUGAAAUUGUCAAAAGGGAAGCGUUUAACACCAGUGUUGUUUUCUGAAAAUCAACCACUGUUAGCUUUAGUGCAUGUUUGUUUAGACCUAAUCAGCUAUCUUGCAUGUUCUAUUGUUUGCAGUGGUGCACUUUUCAGUUUACAGGUCAACAUCAGUUUUUUUUACCGUAAAAAAGUUAAAGAAAGGUAGCUCAUGGCUCCGGUCGUGAGUGCUAUAGUCUUUUUCCUAUGCGGUAGGAGAGACUGAGGUCUGCAGUGUAGGCUAUUUGGCUAGAUACUCAGGUGCUAUGUGAUACCAUUUCAUAAACAACUUGUUGAUUAUGUUUUGUCUAUUGCAUACUCGCUUGUACUAUCAUACCUACGCUUAGGAUGUUGAGUAGCGACAUACGCAC